This 219-nucleotide long non-coding RNA is filed under the name Elaeis guineensis (African oil palm). RNAcentral's name for it is "long non-coding RNA (EGUI_LNC051954)". The record is from RNAcentral. Lineage: Eukaryota; Viridiplantae; Streptophyta; Magnoliopsida; Arecales; Arecaceae.
GUUGCAUAAUGCAAUAUUUGUAUUAGAUCAAUUAUCAAUCAAAUUGAUAAUCAAAUCCUGUUAUGAUUCAUAAUCAUAAUUCAACCAUCUGAUCAUCAAAAGCCUUUUUGUGUGUGAUCCCAUAAGUUUUAUUCUGUCUGAUAGUGAGAUAUAUUGUGAUCUCUAUCACAAUAUCAUUGAAACUCUUUUCAAUGGGUUGGAACAAUUUCAACUCAGCCC